GAUGAACGCUAGCUACAGGCUUAACACAUGCAAGUCGAGGGGCAUCAGGAAGAAAGCUUGCUUUCUUUGCUGGCGACCGGCGCACGGGUGAGUAACACGUAUCCAACCUGCCCUUUACUCGGGGAUAGCCUUUCGAAAGAAAGAUUAAUACCCGAUAGCAUAAUGAUUCCGCAUGGUUUCAUUAUUAAAGGAUUCCGGUAAAGGAUGGGGAUGCGUUCCAUUAGGUUGUUGGUGAGGUAACGGCUCACCAAGCCUUCGAUGGAUAGGGGUUCUGAGAGGAAGGUCCCCCACAUUGGAACUGAGACACGGUCCAAACUCCUACGGGAGGCAGCAGUGAGGAAUAUUGGUCAAUGGGCGCUAGCCUGAACCAGCCAAGUAGCGUGAAGGAUGAAGGCUCUAUGGGUCGUAAACUUCUUUUAUAUAAGAAUAAAGUGCAGUAUGUAUACUGUUUUGUAUGUAUUAUAUGAAUAAGGAUCGGCUAACUCCGUGCCAGCAGCCGCGGUAAUACGGAGGAUCCGAGCGUUAUCCGGAUUUAUUGGGUUUAAAGGGAGCGUAGGUGGACUGGUAAGUCAGUUGUGAAAGUUUGCGGCUCAACCGUAAAAUUGCAGUUGAUACUGUCAGUCUUGAGUACAGUAGAGGUGGGCGGAAUUCGUGGUGUAGCGGUGAAAUGCUUAGAUAUCACGAAGAACUCCGAUUGGGAAGGCAGCUCACUGGACUGCAACUGACACUGAUGCUCAAAGGUGUGGGUAUCAAACCAGG
RNAcentral lists this ribosomal RNA (759 nucleotides) under uncultured bacterium. RNAcentral describes it as "bacterial SSU rRNA". It matches the Rfam family "Bacterial small subunit ribosomal RNA", at positions 28 to 777 of the family's 1533-position model. The record is from RNAcentral.